Molecule: long non-coding RNA, 5972 nt
Filed under: Theobroma cacao (cacao)
Lineage: Eukaryota; Viridiplantae; Streptophyta; Magnoliopsida; Malvales; Malvaceae
Description: long non-coding RNA (TCAC_LNC001399)
Source: RNAcentral
GCUCCUUGCCCCUUGACUUUAAGGAUGCACCAUCUACAUUUGUACUUAAAUUAAUAGAUGUGGAUCUAGAAGAAUUGUGAGUAAAUGUCUCAUUAUUUACUUGCUCUGCAGAUGCACGUAACGAAGAAGGUGGCUCAGAGGGCACAUCAUUGAUCUGCUGCAUCUGUGGUUAAAUGGAUGAAUCAGCAAACGCACUAGCAUUUAUAGGCAACAACAUAAUUCCAGAGGCAUUUGUUGCUUUAGGUCUCGAUUUUGAAUGCUUCCCUUUAACCAUCAUUCCUGCAAUAUUUUUUUGUUAAAAUUCAUACACAAAUUUUAAAAAAAUUUAAACAAACUAUAAAAAUCAUCAAAUUACAACAAUUAAGAGUAAUUCCUAAUCAUGUGUACAAUAAAAGAUGCCACUAUAAAGUAUUCAUUUCAAAAAUUAAAAAUAUAAACUAUAAUAAUUUUAUAACAUGUCAAGAUCUUAUAAUAUUGAUAACUAAGUUAAACAACUGUGUAACAAAAGAUAUAAACCAAUAUCAUAUAUGUCUACCAUCAUCAAUCACUUUCAAAAUAAGCAAACUCAUGUUUUUCAUUAUUAUCACUAUCAUCAGUAAAAGUUUCUUUGUCUUUGUCUUCAACUUUAUUUUCAUCUUCAUUUUCGUCUCCUUACAUGUCAUUUUCUUCAUUCUCAAUCAAUAGAUUAACUUCUUCAUCAAGAGAUUAACUUCUUCAUAAUCACCAUUUGCUAAAACUGUAGAGUUAUCAAGUUUUUUCGAUGGAGUAAUAUUAAUGGAAAUAGACAUAUCAUCUUCUUAGUAUACUUCUUUAUUCAAAUUAAUUUCAUUUUCUUUAUCUUCACUACUAGGAAGGUGGAAUAUAGUCUUAGCUUUUGUUUUAAAUAUUGUUCACCAAUCAUGUCAAUCUCUUUUUAUUGAUAGAUAACUACUAUAAUAAACUUGGUGAGCUUGUCCAGUUAAAACAAACGGCUCAUUAGUGGCAAGUAUUGAGUUGUAUUUAAUUUCAACAAGACCAUCAAAAGGGUUUAGCUUAGUACCUUUUUCAAUGUCAAACCAAUGAUACUUACAUAGCCCAACUCUGUUUUCGAUACCAAAAUACUCUAACUCAAUUAUAUCCGCUAAAAUACUAUAAAAGUCAUGCUCAUAAUCAUUGUAAAAACUCCCUUUUAUGCAGACCCCACUAUUCAUUGUCUUACGAUCUUGCCCAUAAUCUAGGGUGUAAAACUUGAAACCAUUUACAAAGUAUCCUUUGUAACACUUUAUCAUAUGUCCUAAACCAUGAGAGAUUUCAAUUAUACGUGAAAAAUUUCAUCCUUACAUUCUGAAACCUACGAACAUGUAAUACAAGACCAAAAAUGAUUAGUUUACAUACAUAAUGCAUAUUUGUUAUUAAAAGUUCACUUCUACUUUACAUAAACUUACAUAUGUUGUAAAUGAUUUCACAAAUCUUGCAUCAUGUACUUUCUCCAAUUCAUCUUCCGAUAUAUGCACAACAUCUCUUUUCACUAUUUCAUCAAAUAUCUUAUCAUCAUAUCCACAAUUUACAAAUGAAGUUUAUUCUUAUGAUUAAUCAUUUGGGUUUAUGAUAGAAUGGUACUUAUUCAAUAUAUGGGAGUAUCUCUUCACAAUUCAUUAACACAUAUAGCUUAGCAGCAUAAAACUCAUCUUUAUCUAAAAAUCGAGAUAUAUCUAAUAGACCAAAAGCUCACCCAAGAUGAGUGAAAAUUGAAAACGAUCAAGAGAAUCCAUGUCUCCCCAUCAUCAUUACAUGGCACUCAAAUUAAUCUUGUUCGCACAGUAUGUUCAAAAUAUAAUGAGAAAAACAAAGAGAUUUCCUCGAUCAUAUAAGCCUCACAUAUAGAUCCUUCAAUAAAGGCUCGAUAUUUUACUUUCUUCUUCAAAUGUUGCAAAAAACCUAAAAAUCAUAAUAUAUAUAAAACUUAAUAAAUACCUUAACUUAAUAAGUAUCGUAAACUCUUUUAAUAAACUAUUUGAAAAUAAAUAACAAGUGUAGUACCUCUCAAAUGGAUACAUUCAUCGAUACUGGACGGGUUUACCAACCUUUGCCUCAUAAGGUAAAUGGAUCAGUAAAUGCUCCAUAGAGUCAAAGAAAUCGAGAGGAAAUAUCUUUUCUAGUUUACAUAUAGUUUCACAUAUUUUUCCUUCCAAAGCUUUCAUGUGAUCUACAAGUAUUUCAAUUGAGUAUAAAUCUCUAAAAAAAAUAAAUAUCUCAAUAAUCGCAUCCUAAAUUGAGCGAGGCACCAUAUCACUAAAGACAAUUGGGAGAAAUAGUUGUAAAAAAAAUACAAUCAUGACUUUUCAUUGCAUAAAAUUUACAAUCGAUCUCGUUAACACACUAAGAUAUGUUCAACACAAAACUAUCAAGUAAUCUCAAUUGUUUCACCUAAGCACAAAUAAUUUUUCUUUUUUUUUAUUUAAAGUGUAUGAAAUCUUAGGCUUGAAAAUAUUUCUAUUAUUUUCCACCAAUUCCAAUUCUGGAAGUUGCAAUACACCUUCAAAUCUUGCAUUGCCUUUAAGUAGUCUUUCAUCUUCCCCUUAAAAUGCAUUACUGUGUUUAAUAUAUUCUCAAAUACAUUUCACUCAAUAUGCAUCACAUCUAGAUUGUGACAACUAAGAAACGUAUGCCAAUAAAAAAAAUCUCAAAAUAUACUCUUUUUCACUCAAUUAUGACUUACAUCGUAACCCGAAAUUUUCUGCUCACCACAUUUAUUCCAAAUGAGAUAUGAGGAAGCGAAUUCAACAGUGACAAUAUAUCUUCACCUGAUAAUCAAGGAUAUGAAAAGUCAUGCUCAAUUUUUUUUUCAAGAAAUUUAUCUUUUUACCUUCUAAAAGGAUGAUUAGGUAACAAGAAUUGCUAAUGACAAUAAAAAAAUCAAGGUUUCCGACCAUGAUCUAAUAUGAAAGAUUUAGAACGUUCCAUGUAAUAGGGACAUGAUAAUCAUCCAUGAGUACUCCACCUUGACAACAUGCCAUAAGCAGGAAAAUCAUUAAUUGUCCAUAAUAAUGUUGCCUUUAGUUGAAAAUUUUGUUUCCUAUAUGCAUCAUACAUGACAACACCUUCGGUCCAUAAUACUUUCAACUCAUCUAUCAAAACCCUCAAGAAAACAUUUAUGUUUUGGCUUGAAUUUUCUUCCCCGAAAUGACCAUGUUAAGAAAUAUAUAUAUGCUUGUUUCAUACACAUCCAUAGGGGUAAAUUGUACACACGGAGCAUUAUUGGCUAAACAGAAUAAGGUUUAACAGUUGAUCUAAAAAGAUUGAAACUGUCAGCACAUAACCUUAGUUUGACAUUUCGAGAUUCCAUUGCAAAUAACUCAUGUGUGUGGUUGAAGUGUUGCCAAGCCUCACAAUCAAUAAGGUGUCUAAGGACUCCAUCAUGGCUUUGGUUUUACACAUGCCAUGUCAUAUGUUUAAUAGUUUUGCCUGACAUAUAAAGCUUUUGAAGCCUUGGUAUAAGUGGCAAGUAAUGCAAAAUCUUGUAAGGUAUUUUCUUUUGCCUUUUCACACUUGAUUUCGUUAGUUUAUAUCGAGGAUGCUCACAUAUCAUACAAUACCCCAAAUCAACAAUUUUCUCAUAAACUAAGAUGCAAGCAUGAAUUUUGAUAUAUCCAAGUCCAAGUUUCGUUACCUUUUUUUUCAUUCUAUAAAAGUCAGUAGGUAAAGUUUCAUCUGAUGGUAACAUAUUCGUUAUUAUCUCCAACAACUGAUCAAAAUACGAUUUACUCAAAUUAAACUUUGACUUAAUGUUUAAAAAUUACGACAUAGCUGAAAGUGUUGUGUGCUUUAUAUAACUUGACUACAAAGGUUCAUCUGCAUUACUUAACAAAGAGUAAAAGUUAGCUGCAUUUGGAUUUGGAUCUUCUUCCUCAAACCCUAACUCAUUAUCAUGACUAUAACUGAAAACAACUUUCGGACCCAUAGCAGCCUUAACCCUUCUAGCAUAUGGAUUUUCUAUUUCCUCUUCAUAUGUAGGUUCCCCAUGACUAGCAUAUAAUUUAACUCUAUCUCUACUUCUUGAUGAUUGUCCAACAUCAUGUUCCUCAUGUAAACUCCAUAUUGUGUAAGUAUCAGUAAAACCCUUUUUAAGGAUGUGCUCUACCACUUUAUCAAAAUUUAGAAACUUGUUGCUACACUAUGAGCAAAGGCAUCUACUCUUAUUCUCCCACAUAAUUGAAGGGUUAGAAAAUGCAAAAUCAAUGAAUUCUUUAACUCCAUAUAUAAAUUCAUCUCUAAUGAAUCCAUCAAAAGUUAAGCAGCGGUACAUUCAAUAUUGACCUCCCACCAUUUGUAAUCCUAAGUGUCAUAGAAUAUAAUAAUCAGGAGUAAUUCCCAUUCAUGUUUACAAUAAAAAUUGUUAACAAAUACAUGCCAUUAUGAAAUACAUUUAAACAUUUUAAAUAUAAAUUAAAAUAAUAUAAUAACAUGUCAAGAUAGUAAAAAUGAUUUCACACAAUUGCCUAGUGUUAAGUAUCAUUCCAAUUCAAUAACAUAUUGGUAACUUUUAAGAUGACCAAAAUACAUAUUUAUUAUGAAAACUCAAAUAAUUUCAGCAACUAAGUUAAGCACAUUUUUACAAUGCAUCUUAUUAGUAAUAUUUCUAAUAUUUCUAGUGCACAGAAGAUUAGUUACUUACUUUUGGAUGUUUUGUUCUGCAAUGUAUUCUUUAUCCUCUUUAGCUAUUUGAGAAGCAACAUGGGCAAACUAACCCUCGAUAGUUUUUGCAGCAAUUUUGCUAACUUCCUUCUUUACAAAUUUAUGACCUUGUUUUGAAGCAAAAGUAAACAUUCCUUCAAUUUUUUAUAUGAAGCAUUUAUUGUUUGACAUAGCUGUGAAGACUAAAUUUUGGCUUAAGCUUAUUUGUGAUAAACUAUUACUAGAAAACAAACUUUUGGGUGGUUUAUUAGCUCAUGCAAUUCGAAGCAUAAAGUUGUAGAUUUAUGUAGCUAAUGUAAAAGCUCAUGAAUUAUAAAAGAAAGAUCGAAAUUUUCUAUUAGAAGGUGUGCAUUGUUAUGAAGUAAUACAUAAUUCAAAAAAAUUACAACAAAUCUGAUGCCAUUAUCUAAGAUUAAUAUUGAUGGAAAAAAAUGAAAAAGAACAUCUUUUAAAAAUAUGAUGCCAUUAAAUAAAUGAUAGCUAAAGUCAUAAAGGACUUUGGUCAUUUCACUACAAAAAAUCUUUGUAUUUCCAACAGAAAAUAUUCCGUUGGAAAUUUUCAGCGGAUUUGCAACGGAUUUCCAACAAAGUAUAAUUAAAAUUUUUAAUUACUUGUUCUGACGGAUUUCUAACGGACUUAUACUGAAAAUUUUUCAUCGAAAUUUUUUGUUGGAAAUCCGUUGGAAAAUAUGGUGUUUUCCGUAGUUUUUUUGAAAUUUUGCGUCCGCGCCCUGCCAGUAUUUUUUUAUUGAUUUUUUUAUUAGUUAAGUAUUAUUAUUAUUAAUUUUUUUAACAUAAAAAAUAUGGUGUUUACAGCUAGCUGCUAGCCUACCACGCCAAGCUCGGAUCUUUCAUCGGUUGAUCUACCUUUUCUCUCCAAUAACCCAGCCACAGCCAGGGUCUGCUGACUGCAUGGGUGUCUCCCCAAGCUCCAUGCCCUUGUUCUUCCCUUGUUGCCGACCUACCCCGCCACGCUCGGCUCCUUCAUCAGUUCAUCUGAAUUUUCUCCCCAGUUGCCCAGCCACAGCCACUUCUUGUCGACUGCCUCUGUGUCGCCCUAAGCCCCACGCCAUUCUUAAUAAUUGUUAUGCAAACAAGAUUUGAUGCUUCAAUUAGGGCUGUUUGUUACUGUAAAAUGAUACUAGCUUAUUGACUGCUUCAGACAAUUUUUUAGAGUUGAUGUGUUGCUAUUGUUCUACAUUUACAAUAUCAUUUAAAUGUUACUGUAUUGUAUGUUUCUGAAAAGUGAUACCUUAAGAAUUAAUGGAACAUGCCAAUGUCGAUAUUGUCAUUAAUUU